Molecule: ribosomal RNA, 496 nt
Filed under: uncultured bacterium
Lineage: Bacteria
Description: partial 16S ribosomal RNA
Rfam family: Bacterial small subunit ribosomal RNA
Source: RNAcentral
GAUGAACGCUGGCGGCGUGCCUAAUACAUGCAAGUCGAGCGAACAGACGAGGAGCUUGCUCCUCUGACGUUAGCGGCGGACGGGUGAGUAACACGUGGAUAACCUACCUAUAAGACUGGGAUAACUUCGGGAAACCGGAGCUAAUACCGGAUAAUAUAUUGAACCGCAUGGUUCAAUAGUGAAAGACGGUUUUGCUGUCACUUAUAGAUGGAUCCGCGCCGCAUUAGCUAGUUGGUAAGGUAACGGCUUACCAAGGCAACGAUGCGUAGCCGACCUGAGAGGGGGAUCGGCCAACCUGGAACGGGGACCGGGCCCAACCCCCUAGGGGAGGCAGCAGUAGGGAAUUUUCCGCAAGGGGCGAAAGCCUGCCGGAGCAACGCCGGGUGGGUGAUGAAGGGCUUGGGAUCGAAAAACUCUUUUAUUGGGGAAAAAAAAAUGUGAAAGUAACUAUGCCCGUCUUGACGGUACCAAAACAAAAAGCCGCGGCUAACUACGU